UUAAAGUUGUUGCGGUUAAAAGCUCGUAGUUGGAGUUCUGCCGGGUGACGCUCCUCCGCCCAAGUGGUGUGUACAGGGCGUGCAUCUGGCCCUUUCAAGGGGAACGUAUUGCACUUUAUUGUGUGGUGCGAGAUCCUUGACUUUUACUUUGAGGAAAUAAGAGUGUUCCAAGCAGGCUCUCGUCGUGCAUAGCUCAGCAUGGAAUAAUAGCAUUGGACUUCGUUUCUACGCUGUUGGUUGCAAGAAGCGAGGUAAUGAUGAAGAAGGAUGGUUGGGGGCAUUCGUAUUUAACUGUCAGAGGUGAAAUUCUUUUUUUUGUUAAAGACGGACUACUGCGAAAGCAUCUGCCAUGGAUGUUUUCGUUGAUCACGAAC
RNAcentral lists this ribosomal RNA (374 nucleotides) under uncultured Syndiniales. Its description in RNAcentral is "SSU rRNA". It matches the Rfam family "Eukaryotic small subunit ribosomal RNA", at positions 604 to 984 of the family's 1831-position model. Lineage: Eukaryota; Dinophyceae; Syndiniales. The record is from RNAcentral.